GACCCACAACCCACAUUUUCAGUAAUGUCAAUGUCACAUUUUGAUGUGCUGUGCUGUUUGUAAAGCAAAUUUCACGUCGUUUUGUUAUCCAUAAUAAUUAAUUUCCAUACUUUUGACAUCCACAAGUCACAACAGUAAAAAUUAUUAUUUUGUCUAAAUCUUGACCCGAAGAUUAGCGGCGUGUAAUUUGGGUUGCCUUCUUGCUUAUAUAAACUUGAAUCAAUGAAAUGGGCAUUUUCUUUUGAGUUAUUUAAAACGCUGAAAAGACCAUUUAGUGAUAAUAAAAACCGAUAUUUACUGCGGUAGCAUAAUAUUUAAUAUUAAAAUAGUAUUAGAUGUGGUAGAAUGUAGACUCUUUGUAUAAUUACCAAUUGAACAGUGAAGCUGUUAGAUCAAUUUUCCGAUUCAAUCAUUUCUACUGUUCACAGUUCUGUGUUUGUGUUUGCUUUUGAGUAGGUAUUUCAUUUUCUUGACAACAAAAAUGUUCGGUGUGGAAAGAAUUAAUAAGUGCGUGCAAUGCGGAAAAGUGUAUAAAUGUAAACAUGAUUUAAAAAGACAUGUAAAAAGUUCGCAUCCCGACAAAUUGGAUGCAAUUGCCCCUUUAAAAGUGCUUAGAGGCAAUGUCUAUAAGUGCACACAUUGUGAUAAACAAUUUAGAUAUAAGUCAAGUUUAAACUUUCAUGUCAAAAAAGUGCACACAAAUGUAUUAGUUUCUGCAGAAACUAAAACAUUUCAACAUAAAUGUUCUCUGUGUAAUUGUAAUUAUCAUGCAACUUAUGAAACUUCUCAAUUCCUAUGCAAUACGAUACAAUAGAGUUUUCCAACCAUGAUGACUUUAUUUCUUGGAAGAAUAAAAUAGAGCUUAAAACAAAUGCUAGUUUUAUUGCGGAAAAAAGGCUGGGAUAAACCGUAAUCGUACCCCUUCCUAACUGCCAAAGUGUCAUGGCCGCCGUCGGGACCUAUUGUGCUGACAUUUACAAUGUUUACAUAUAGAAAAGUUUGUUUUUUUCUGCUUAUAAUGCCGUUUUCUAAAGAUAUUAGUGAACAAAAUCGAUUUGCUAACAAUAUUUAAUAUAUUUUAAAUGUGCUAAAAUUGGAUUCAACAGCAAAAGUCGCAUAAAUAACAUAUAAAUGACGAAUUUGUUUACCUAUUACAAAUGGGGUUAUGUGGUUGUAACUGUUUAUUUUGGGAAUAAAAUGAAAAUGAUCAAUUAAACGACUGGAAAACUAUAGUGAAGUGAAGAACAUCUUGAAGUUCCAAUGAUGUUUCAAGAUGAGAUAAAUCGAAAUAAUGGUUGUAUGUUAGAAGGACAGAGAAUACGAAGAAAUGUUAUUGCUGCAUACUUAGUGUAGUGAAAUACAAACUUCAAACAUUAUAA
This is a long non-coding RNA of Diabrotica virgifera virgifera (western corn rootworm), 1379 nucleotides long. RefSeq lists it as uncharacterized. Lineage: Eukaryota; Metazoa; Arthropoda; Insecta; Coleoptera; Chrysomelidae. The record is from RefSeq and is a predicted model, not a curated record. The transcript is spliced from 2 exons.